GGGAUAACUAUUGGAAACGAUAGCUAAUACCGCAUAAGAGCAGUUGUUGCAUGACAGCUGUUUAAAAGGUGCAAUUGCGCCACUACCAGAUGGACCUGCGUAGUAUUAGCUAGUAGGUGAGGUAACGGCUCACCAAGGCGACGAUACAUAGCCGACCUGAGAGGGUGAUCGGCCACACUGGGACUGAGACACGGCCCAGACUCCUACGGGAGGCAGCAGUAGGGAAUCUUCGGCAAUGGGGGCAACCCUGACCGAACAACGCCGCGUGAGUGAAGAAGGUUUUCGGAUCGUAAAGCUCUGUUGUAAGAGAAGAACGAGUGUGAGAGUGGAAAGUUCACGCUGUGACGGUAUCUUACCAGAAAGGGACGGCUAACUACGUGCCAGCAGCCGCGGUAAUACGUAGGUCCCGAGCGUUAUCCGGAUUUAUUGGGCGUAAAGCGAGCGCAGGCGGUUAGAUAAGUCUGAAGUUAAAGGCUGUGGCUUAACCAUAGUACGCUUUGGCAACUGUUUUACUUGAGUGCAAGAGGGGAGAGUGGAAUUCCAUGUGUAGCGGUGAUAUGCGUAGAUAUAUGGAGGAACACCGGUGGCGAAAGCGGCUCUCUGGCUUG
This 608-nucleotide ribosomal RNA is filed under the name uncultured Streptococcus sp. Its description in RNAcentral is "bacterial SSU rRNA". It matches the Rfam family "Bacterial small subunit ribosomal RNA", at positions 140 to 736 of the family's 1533-position model. Lineage: Bacteria; Bacillati; Bacillota; Bacilli; Lactobacillales; Streptococcaceae. The record is from RNAcentral.